Etheostoma spectabile (orangethroat darter) is the source of this 338-nucleotide long non-coding RNA. RefSeq lists it as uncharacterized. The record is from RefSeq and is a predicted model, not a curated record. Lineage: Eukaryota; Metazoa; Chordata; Actinopteri; Perciformes; Percidae. The transcript is spliced from 4 exons.
CAAUUAAAGGAAUUCUUAGGCAACUUAAGCCCAGUUCAGACCAAAGAUUCCUGAGGAGACGAGUUGAAACUUGCAACUUCUUGUAACGAGCCGGUCUGCAGCGUUCGGAAACUUGCCAGUUCACACUAAUGAGACAAGACGAGACGGCGCAUCAUCUCCAUAACAACGCCUCUUUGUAGGCUACUUCCGUUCAAACCUACGACUUUUAGGCUUUUUUGUAGCUGGAUUUAUCGUUUGUUUUGUCUAAAUAUGUAAGUGGAUAAUGUUAGUGACAGUGAGAUGCUUGCUACAGUUACAUUUCUAGUGAUGAAUCGGCAAAAACACGUUUUAUUUUUCUG